RNAcentral lists this ribosomal RNA (802 nucleotides) under Dietzia sp. RNAcentral describes it as "bacterial SSU rRNA". It matches the Rfam family "Bacterial small subunit ribosomal RNA", at positions 47 to 863 of the family's 1533-position model. The record is from RNAcentral. Lineage: Bacteria; Bacillati; Actinomycetota; Actinomycetes; Mycobacteriales; Dietziaceae.
CUUAACACAUGCAAGUCGAACGGUAAGGCCCCUAUCGGGGGUACACGAGUGGCGAACGGGUGAGUAACACGUGGGUAAUCUGCCCUGCACUUCGGGAUAAGCCUGGGAAACUGGGUCUAAUACCGGAUAUGAACUCCUGCCGCAUGGUGGGGGUUGGAAAGUUUUUCGGUGCAGGAUGAGCCCGCGGCCUAUCAGCUUGUUGGUGGGGUAAUGGCCUACCAAGGCGACGACGGGUAGCCGGCCUGAGAGGGUGAUCGGCCACACUGGGACUGAGACACGGCCCAGACUCCUACGGGAGGCAGCAGUGGGGAAUAUUGCACAAUGGGCGAAAGCCUGAUGCAGCGACGCCGCGUGGGGGAUGACGGUCUUCGGAUUGUAAACCCCUUUCAGUAGGGACGAAGCGCAAGUGACGGUACCUGCAGAAGAAGCACCGGCUAACUACGUGCCAGCAGCCGCGGUAAUACGUAGGGUGCGAGCGUUGUCCGGAAUUACUGGGCGUAAAGAGCUCGUAGGCGGUUUGUCACGUCGUCUGUGAAAUCCCUCGGCUUAACCGGGGGCGUGCAGGCGAUACGGGCAGACUUGAGUACUACAGGGGAGACUGGAAUUCCUGGUGUAGCGGUGAAAUGCGCAGAUAUCAGGAGGAACACCGGUGGCGAAGGCGGGUCUCUGGGUAGUAACUGACGCUGAGGAGCGAAAGCAUGGGUAGCGAACAGGAUUAGAUACCCUGGUAGUCCAUGCCGUAAACGGUGGGCGCUAGGUGUGGGGUCCUUCCACGGACUCCGUGCCGUAGCUAACGCAUUAA